CCCUUCGAUGUUCUGGGCUGCACGCGCGCUACACUGAAGCUAUCAACACGUUUUCCCUCCCUGAGAAGGGCGGGUAACCUUUUGAAUCAGCUUCGUGGUAGGGAUCGGGGCUUGCAAUUGUUCCCCGUGAACCAGGAAUUCCUAGUAGACGCGAGUCAUAAGCUCGCAUCGAUUAAGUCCCUGCCCUUUGUACACACCGCCCGUCGCUACUACCGAUUGAACGUUUUAGUGAGGCAUUUGGACCGACGCAUCUCAGUUUAACCGCUGGUUUGUGUUGGAAAGACUUCCAAACUUGAGCGUUUAGAGGAAGUAAAAGUCGUAACA
Molecule: ribosomal RNA, 324 nt
Filed under: uncultured eukaryote
Lineage: Eukaryota
Description: partial 18S ribosomal RNA
Rfam family: Eukaryotic small subunit ribosomal RNA
Source: RNAcentral